Molecule: ribosomal RNA, 429 nt
Filed under: Bacillota bacterium
Lineage: Bacteria; Bacillati; Bacillota
Description: Firmicutes bacterium partial 16S ribosomal RNA
Rfam family: Bacterial small subunit ribosomal RNA
Source: RNAcentral
UAGGGAAUCUUCGGCAAUGGACGGAAGUCUGACCGAGCAACGCCGCGUGAGUGAAGAAGGUUUUCGGAUCGUAAAGCUCUGUUGUUAGAGAAGAACGUUGGUAGGAGCGGAAAAUCUACCAAGUGACGGUAACUAACCAGAAAGGGACGGCUAACUACGUGCCAGCAGCCGCGGUAAUACGUAGGUCCCGAGCGUCGUCCGGAUUUAUUGGGCGUAAAGCGAGCGCAGGCGGUUCUUUAAGUCUGAAGUUAAAGGCAGUGGCUUACCCAUUGUACGCUUUGGAAACUGGAGGACUUGAGUGCAGAAGGGGUGAGUGGAAUUCCAUGUGUAGCGGUGAAAUGCGUAGAUAUAUGGAGGAACACCGGUGGCGAAAGCGGCUCUCUGGUCUGUAACUGACGCUGAGGCUCGAAAGCGUGGGGAGCAAACAGG